This is a small nuclear RNA of Jaculus jaculus (lesser Egyptian jerboa), 107 nucleotides long. NCBI's taxonomy places the organism in Eukaryota, Metazoa, Chordata, Mammalia, Rodentia, Dipodidae. The record is from Ensembl.
AUGCUUCCUUCAGCAGCACAUACACUGAAGUCAUAAUGGAGCAGAGUAUAUUUGCAUGGGCCUUGAACAAGGAUAACACGAAAAUUCCUGAAGCAUUCCAUAUGUUU